CAAAGGCACAUUUAAAAAAUGUAAAUAUAGAAAUAGUUAAGAUAAGCAUUUUAAUCAUUUAAAACCUUAGUAAAUAGUCAUGGCUGAAGCCGCAGCAUGUUUAUUGCUGUACAAAUACAAGGCGGUAUGUACUAAGCAGACUGGUACAAUUUUUAGCACUCCAUGUGGCGUCUGUUGCAUCGUUUGGAUGAUCAGAUCAACACAGAUAUUCAUAGAUGGCGAGAUAAGGGACCAUGAUGUCCUAGACGAGGAUGAACAGUCACUCAUUGAUCACUCGCGACACGCAGAGAAAUCAGUUCGUACUGCUGCUAGCUUUGACUUCAUCUAGCAUCGGAAGCUGAACCGCCAUAUGAUCCUCUACUGCACUGUGCUUGCCUCGGCCAAGAAAGACAGUGAAAGCCAGCGGAAACGCAAAAGAUGAGGGAAUAAGGCACUCGCAAGUAUCCCGCAGUAGCGGGAAUGGGUAAGUCUAUUGCUAGCCAGCACGCGGGUUCAGCGAUUCGUUGCAAACAUUGAGAUGGGCCAUUCGCCUGGCAUGUGCCAGCUGCUCUUUUUUUACAUGGUCUUGUUUUGUGUGUUUUCAGAAAAUCAAAUCCGAUUUCGUUAUCAUGGAGCUGAAGGAUGAGGAUCUUGCAGCUCUCCAAACACACACAUUGGCCGAUGUGAUAGCGGUGUCGUACCCCAACAUUUAUCUCAACUUCUUGGUGGCCAACUGGAGUGUGAGCGCGACGUCAUUGCAACCAUCCUCCCGCAGAUUUGGUCGCAAGAUAUGCUAAGGAUACACAAUGUACACAAACAUGUCCUUUAUGUCCUUGCAUCCGGAAGGAUUGAAAUCCAUCAAGGACCUCAAGGACUGCAGGAUACGUCUGUUUUACCUGAAAUUAGGCCAUAAUUUUUAAAAUAAAAGGACCCCCUGAAAGAAAAUGCAUAAGUUCCAUCAGCAUUAUCCGAGCAUUGUGAAAGUAGCUACACUUUUUAUUGAUAUACAAAAUCUACAUAUUUUUUUAAUGUUGUGUAUGUUUUGUGUUAUAAUCUUAACCUGUGCUCUAAUCCGACUUGGCAUUAUUCUGAGUGGAAAUCGGUAACUUCGAUGUGGAACUAGUUAUCCAGAUCAAAGGUACACCCAAGUUUGCAUGAAUCAACGACCCAUCAACGUUUCUGCGGGAAGAGGGUUGUGGUGACGGGGCAUUCACGCUCCAACUGGAACACAUAGGUUUCCCAAUGUUGGGAUAUCGAUUGGCGAACCGGGCUCAUCAGCCAUCCGUGAAUCUUAGAGCUGCGAGAGACGCGUUCGUUUUCGAUUUUCU
This 1307-nucleotide long non-coding RNA is filed under the name Drosophila guanche. The record is from RNAcentral. Lineage: Eukaryota; Metazoa; Arthropoda; Insecta; Diptera; Drosophilidae.